Molecule: ribosomal RNA, 726 nt
Filed under: Triticum aestivum (bread wheat)
Lineage: Eukaryota; Viridiplantae; Streptophyta; Magnoliopsida; Poales; Poaceae
Description: partial small subunit ribosomal RNA
Source: RNAcentral
AUGCAAGCUGACAACGACACCGAGUUUAUUAACACCACUGUCACCACCUUCUUCACAUCUCACAACAUUCACCUUCGUCUCUCGUGUCCCUACACUUCCACUCGAAACGGCAAAGUUGAACGAGCUAUACGCACGAUCAACGAUGUCGUCCAAACUCUUCUAUUUCAGUCAUCCAUGUCGCCCUCUUUUUGGGCAGAAGCCCUCACCACAGCUACCCACCUCGUCAACAUUCGCCCUUCUCAAGCUAUAGACUUUGCCAUUCCCUAUGUUUUCUUAUACGACACUCUGCCCGAUUACGCCGCGCUGCGUGUCUUCGGCUGUCUAUGCUACCCAAACCAAUCCGCAUUGCCAAAAAUAAACUCUCUCCCUGCUCAGUCGCAUGUGUGUUCAUUGGUUAUCCUAGUCAACACAAAGGCCACCCAACAUGCACCUGUCCAGCCCCAACACAUCCUGCAUGCAUGCCCAUCUAGUGGCCCUCCAUCUUCUACUCCACUAGCCCGUGUCACCUCCUCUCCGCCAACUCUGCAUGCAACCUUGUCACCCACCAUGCAUAGUGGCUCUUUGCCUUCCUCUCUAUGUGCUACACCUAUCAGCUCGCCCUUGAGCUCGCCUCCCAACCAGCGCGAUGGCAUCUCCUCCCGCAGCCGAACCUAUCACACCUCCAUCUUGCACGUCUACCAAACCAUCACCGCUCGUCGUCGUUCACCGGCCAUCGUCCCCAUCUAA